AAAUUAUCAAGAGAGUCGCGAGGGAAUGGGCCCGUUAAAGCGACCGACAACCGAUCCUGAGCUUAAGUCGAAGGAUACGGUGCCAAAUCCCACCCAAAUGGAGGGAAAGAUAAGCC
This 116-nucleotide non-coding RNA is filed under the name Candidatus Beckwithiibacteriota. RNAcentral describes it as "Candidatus Beckwithbacteria SAM-I sequence". It matches the Rfam family "SAM riboswitch aptamer (S box leader)". From Rfam's summary of the family: The SAM riboswitch is found upstream of a number of genes which code for proteins involved in methionine or cysteine biosynthesis in Gram-positive bacteria. The record is from RNAcentral.